UUUUAACAGAACAUUAUGAAUAAAGAGCUGAUGUAAGAGGAUGUGGCUGACUCCGAGGAAGUGCCAGACAGGCUUUUGACAUUUAACGAGGUGGAUCAGAAACAGAAUUGGAGCUAUUUUAUCUGGACCUAAUUAAACAACCGUCAUUACUGGCAGUUCUUGAAAUAAAUGAAGGCAGCUCCUGGUCUGACUCUUCAUUGAUACAUUUUGUGUUUGUUUAAUUUUCCAUAAAAAUAUUGUGUGCUCAUAAAAAUAUCAACAGAUGUGCCAUGCUAGGGUCUGACUAGGUCUUUUGAUACAUUAAGCUAGGGUAGUAUGUAGCAGCACUGCUACUCACCAUUUCCCUCCAGCUCAGGAAUCCACUUCAUACUAGUGUCAUACCUCAUUUCAU
This is a long non-coding RNA of Gavialis gangeticus (Gharial), 391 nucleotides long. RefSeq lists it as uncharacterized. NCBI's taxonomy places the organism in Eukaryota, Metazoa, Chordata, Crocodylia, Gavialidae. The transcript has 3 exons. The record is from RefSeq and is a predicted model, not a curated record.